CCUACGGGUGGCAGCAGUGAGGAAUAUUGGUCAAUGGACGCAAGUCUGAACCAGCCAUGCCGCGUGCAGGAAGACGGCUCUAUGAGUUGUAAACUGCUUUUGUACGAGGGUAAACGCAGAUACGCGGAUCUGUCUGAAAGUAUCGUACGAAUAAGGAUCGGCUAACUCCGUGCCAGCAGCCGCGGUAAUACGGAGGGUUCAAGCGUUAUCCGGAUUUAUUUGGUUUAAAGGGUGCGUAGGCGGGCGUAUAAGUUAGAGGUGAAAGCCAGAGGCUCAACUUCGGAAUUGCCUUUGAGACUGUUCGGCUAGAGAGUAGUUGCGGUAGGCGGAAUGUAUGGUGUAGCGGUGAAAUGCUUAGAGAUCAGGCAGAACACCGAUUGCGAAGGCAGCUUACCAAGCUACUACUGACGUUGAGGCACGAAAGCGUGGGGAGCAAACAGGAUUAGAUACCCCUGUAGUC
This 460-nucleotide ribosomal RNA is filed under the name uncultured bacterium. RNAcentral's name for it is "partial 16S ribosomal RNA". It matches the Rfam family "Bacterial small subunit ribosomal RNA", at positions 338 to 795 of the family's 1533-position model. The record is from RNAcentral.